AUUGAACGCUGGCGGCAGGCUUAACACAUGCAAGCCGAGCGGAGCGAGGGUGCUUGCACCUUAGCUUAGCGGCGGACGGGUGAGUAAUGCUUAGGAAUCUGCCUAUUAGUGGGGGACAACAUUCCGAAAGGGAUGCUAAUACCGCAUACGCCCUACGGGGGAAAGCAGGGGAUCUUCGGACCUUGCGCUAAUAGAUGAGCCUAAGUCGGAUUAGCUAGUUGGUGGGGUAAAGGCCUACCAAGGCGACGACCUGUAGCGGGUCUGAGAGGAUGAUCCGCCACACUGGGACUGAGACACGGCCCAGACUCCUACGGGAGGUAGCAGUGGGGAAUAUUGGACAAUGGGCGGAAGCCCGAUCCAGCCAUGCCGCGUGUGUGAAGAAGGCCUUUUGGUUGUAAAGCACUUUAAGCGAGGAGGAGGCUACUUAGAUUAAUACUCUGGGAUAGUGGACGUUACUCGCAGAAUAAGCACCGGCUAACUCUGUGCCAGCCGCCGCCGUAA
RNAcentral lists this ribosomal RNA (501 nucleotides) under uncultured bacterium. Its description in RNAcentral is "partial 16S ribosomal RNA". It matches the Rfam family "Bacterial small subunit ribosomal RNA", at positions 30 to 523 of the family's 1533-position model. The record is from RNAcentral.